RNAcentral lists this ribosomal RNA (429 nucleotides) under Bacteroidota bacterium. RNAcentral describes it as "Bacteroidetes bacterium partial 16S ribosomal RNA". It matches the Rfam family "Bacterial small subunit ribosomal RNA", at positions 355 to 776 of the family's 1533-position model. Lineage: Bacteria; Pseudomonadati; Bacteroidota. The record is from RNAcentral.
UAGGGAAUCUUCCGCAAUGGACGCAAGUCUGACGGAGCAACGCCGCGUGAGUGAAGAAGGAUUUCGGUUCGUAAAACUCUGUUGUUAGAGAAGAACAGCGCAUAGAGUAACUGUUAUGCGUGUGACGGUAUCUAACCAGAAAGCCACGGCUAACUACGUGCCAGCAGCCGCGGUAAUACGUAGGUCCCGAGCGUUGUCCGGAUUUAUUGGGCGUAAAGCGAGCGCAGGCGGUCAAUUAAGUCUGAUGUGAAAGCCCCCGGCUCAACCGGGGAGGGUCAUUGGAAACUGGUUGACUUGAGUGCAGAAGGGGAGAGUGGAAUUCCAUGUGUAGCGGUGAAAUGCGUAGAUAUAUGGAGGAACACCGGUGGCGAAAGCGGCUCUCUGGUCUGUAACUGACGCUGAGGCUCGAAAGCGUGGGGAGCGAACAGG